GACGAACGCUGGCGGCGUGCUUAACACAUGCAAGUCGAACGGAAAGGCCCUGCUUUUGUGGGGUGCUCGAGUGGCGAACGGGUGAGUAACACGUGAGUAACCUGCCCUUGCCUUUGGGAUAACUUCAGGAAACUGGGGCUAAUACCGGAUAGGAGCUCCUGCUGCAUGGUGGGGGUUGGAAAGUUUCGGCGGUUGGGGAUGGACUCGCGGCUUAUCAGCUUGUCGGUGGGGUAGUGGCUUACCAAGGCUUUGACGGGUAGCCGGCCUGAGAGGGUGACCGGCCACAUUGGGACUGAGAUACGGCCCAGACUCCUACGGGAGGCAGCAGUGGGGAGUAUUGCACAAUGGGCGGAAGCCUGAUGCAGCAACGCCGCGUGCGGGAUAACGGCCUUCGGGUUGUAAACCGCUUUCGCCUGUGACGAAGCGUGAGUGACGGUAAUGGGUAAAGAAGCACCGGCUAACUACGUG
RNAcentral lists this ribosomal RNA (468 nucleotides) under uncultured bacterium. RNAcentral's name for it is "partial 16S ribosomal RNA". It matches the Rfam family "Bacterial small subunit ribosomal RNA", at positions 28 to 507 of the family's 1533-position model. The record is from RNAcentral.